This is a long non-coding RNA of Vigna angularis (adzuki bean), 6090 nucleotides long. RefSeq lists it as uncharacterized. Lineage: Eukaryota; Viridiplantae; Streptophyta; Magnoliopsida; Fabales; Fabaceae. The record is from RefSeq and is a predicted model, not a curated record. The transcript is spliced from 2 exons.
AUACAAUGGGCUGGCAAUGGCUAAUUCUUGGGUCAAGCCACUAAUAGGCCAGCGCUAUUGAAGAAUAUUGAAUUCACACCUUUGGGCUGAAGUGAAAUGCGCAGCAAUGAUCUAAAACUUUAUUUUGGGUCGUCUGCAUUGGGUUGAGGAAUCAAGUGAAGUUUUUCAUUUUGGUGAUUGCUUUUUCUUUGGGGGUCAGUGUUUCGAAGGCCUCAUUUUCCAAUUGCAAGUCUCGAGCUAGGGCUCAGAUGCAGAGAAAGAAAAUGCAAAGAAAAAACGUUCGUGCUCGUGCCUCUGAUCCAGAAGAAGUUGAAGUUGAUCCUUUUCACGUGCAGGGAGGUCAAAUCGGUAAAGAAGGGGAAGUUGAUCCAAGGGCUGUAAAGACGCGAGUGGUUCGUGAUAAAGGGUUGAGAAGAAAGGAAGCGAUUUAGAAAAUUAGUUCGUCAGAGUAUCACGAAGCUUCCAAUUCUGUUAUAGGUUCAUCCCUUUUCCCCUAUUUUUCCCUCUUUUCCUUUUUCUAUAAAAGGAAGAUUUUGCAAUGUAUAGAGUGUGUGCAUUGGGUGACAGACAGUGUACUUAGCUGAGGUUUUCAUUCUCUUGCUUAGUUUAAAUUUCUUCAAGCUUUGUAGAGAUAGAAUCAUUGCUUUGGGUUACUGGAUUUCGUAGAGGGUUCUCACGUGAGUGACACGCCGUGAGGUUCCUCUGUGAUCUUCGGUACAACUCUUGUAAUUCAGUUUUAAAUUUCAAUAUAUUUCAGUUUUGUUAUCUUUUUCCACAGUCUUGCAAUUUCAAUUCCUACAAAGUUAUUUUACUAUUCAUGCAAUUUAAGAUUUCUACCCAAUUUUUUUAGUUUUUGCGGACUCUAUUUCUUUCAAUUUCUCUUUUCAAUUGCAAUUGUAGUUUAGGUUAGUUUAGAGUUUGAUAUUGGGUAAUCUUCUUAGUCUAGAUAAUAUGUUUUAGGUGUUACAUUGUAAGGAAAAAUGCAGUUCUAGGCAAUUGGCAUUGAUUUGCAACAUAAGGAAAUUGUUCACAUUAUAAGUAUUUGAUUCAGAUGCCUUAGGACCCCAAAGAGGGCCUAAUUUUUCAAGAUGUCUUCUUGAGACAUAGUAUGCAUUAAAGCUUCAAAUUAAGUCUGUUGCCAAAACUGUAUUUGAACUUUACUCUAUUUUUUGAGCUGUUUCCAUUGUAGGUGCUUCGGUUUAGAUUUCCCAUUUCUGUUUUUAAUUGUUAUGUGUUACUCUUUUCAUCAUUCCAAUAUUAAUUUAUCAUUAGUUUUCUUGCAUUUAGCCUUUAGUUUCUUAGAUUUGUUUUAGGUUCUUUUAUUACGUCAUUUUAGUUUAAGUAUUCUAUUUAACUUUAUUUAGUAUAGAGUACGGUUUUAUUUUUCCUUCUUUGCAUCAUUCUAUAUUAGGUAUCAUGCAUUCAUUUUAGAUAAAAUCAUGCAUUGCAUUAUCUUUUAGUUUCUUUCUUUAGAUUUUAUUUUCUUUCCCCACCUAGUUUUAGUAAACAAAUAAUUAGGUUUAAUUCUAUAAUUCUAAACUUAAUAAGUACCAAGUCCUUGGAUUGAUUCCCUAGGUUGCCCCUAGACUACAUUAGUGGGGACUAGGUUUUGUUGGCUUUGAGGUGACUAAAAUGUUCUUCAACAAAUGGCACCUUUGUCGAGGACUUUGGCGACUUAAAUUUUAGAAUUGUAGAGUUAGCCUUGUAGAGUUAGCAUUGUAGGUUCAACAAGAGGACGCCCAAUUUCCAUGGGCUGACACAUGAAGAUCCACACAAUCCCAUCAAGGAGUUUAGCUGGGUGUGCUCCUCCAUGAAGCCUCCUGGGUUUCAGAGGAAUCAGUGUUGAUAAGAGCUUUUCCAAUGUCCUUGCAAGGUGCAGCCAUGGAGUGGAUGAUUUAUCAACAGUAUUCCUUUAAUGGAUGGCAAGAGAAGUAGAAAAGAUUCCUCAACAAGUACUUUCUAGUAGCUAAAGGAGUUUACCUCAGGAGGGAGAUCACGGUCAUUAGACAAUUCCAAGAGGAAGGUCUGGCUGAGUAUUGGGAAAGGUUCAAAGGGCUUUGUACAGCUUGCUCCAACCACCAGAUUUCAAGCCCAGGCUUCUAGUCUACUUUUAUGAGGGUCUGCUUUACAAAGACAAGGUGUUGGUUGACACAGCAGCUGGAGGCUCUCUACUAGAAAAGACCCCAACUGAGGCAAGAAAGUUGUUGUGCAAGCUAGCUGGAAAUGACCCUAAUGAUGUAACUGGUGAAUCAAGAAAAUAGGUUUUCUCUGAACUGAAUAUUCCAAUUAAUACUGACAAGGUUCAACUUCAUUUUAAUGCUUUUAAUCUUUUGGAAAGUUGAACCAAUAAAUCCUGCCUUGGAUCAUGUUCCUGUUAUGCAUUCUCAUAGUCUUGAUUCAGCAUUUGACAGAGAACAUAUUGAUAUAUAUGUUGUUUUCCCAGACUCUUAGGCUGACUUUGAGAUUGUUUCAGUGGAGGAUAUUCCUUCAGUAUAUGUUGAGGCAUCCACUGAGUUCUCGUAUACUAGUAAAGUUGUCUUUGAGGAAGUAGUCCAGGAGGAAUUAAUGAAGUUGCAGACAUUAAUAGCAAAGAGGCAGUUUUGGAUAUGUAAAGAGAGAUGGCUACUACUGGUGAUAAGCCUACACGGUCAAAUUCAGUUUCAUGCAAUCACAAGAUGCAAGCCUUGAAAGAAGAGUUGAUGCAGUUACAACAGAUAGAGCAGGAGAGGAAGCCAUUGUAGCCAUAGAGACUUUUCACAGAGGAGCCAAACACAAGAGACCAAAAACAAUAAGCCAUUAUAGCCUUUCUUUACCUUUUUCUUCUUUUGCAGUGAUAGGUUCUUGUUAAUAGCUUGCAUGGUAAUAGAUAUUAUAGUAAAUAAUAGAGUAGAAAAUAUGGGGUUUUACAUAAAAAUAAAGAGAAUUAAUUUUGAUUUGUGGCCAAUCUGGAAAAGUUCUUUUUAGUUUUGUAGUUUUAGUUUUAAUUCUUGUAUUUGUUCUUGUUCAAUUCUUGCUAUCUUUGUGUUUUUCAGUUUCUGUUAUGUACAAAUUUUUUGCUUGAUAUGUGCAUGUGGUUUUAUUGUUAGAAAACCUUUCUCACUCACACAUUGAGGACAAUGUGCUUCUUAAGUGUGAGAGUGAGAAGGUAUAGGUUUAAAUCUUGUUUUUACUUGAAUAUGCAUCUGUUAGUAUGUGUUUUUGUAGUUAAAAUAGGAGUAAAAUUUUUUUUAGUUUCUUUUCUGAGUUGCUUUUAGUAUUGUUUCAGUUUGUAAAUACUUAGCUUUAGUUUGUAAAUACCCAAUUUUUUAUGCUUUCAUAAUUUGUUUUAGGUUGUAGAUUAGGCUUUAUUUUUGUUUUGAAUCUCAUAAUUGCUUGUAGAAUUUUUUCUUUUAUUCUUGAUUUUGUUUCACGUAUUAGUAGUUCUGUUUUAGCAUUCUUAAUUCUUAUUUUAAGCAUUAGUAAUUGUUUUAGUUUUCAUAUCUUGCUUUAGUCUUUGUAAAUAUGCUUUUGCUUUAGAAUUUGUUCUUUUAUAGGUUCUGUUUAGGUUUCUAUUAGGAAUUUUGUAGUCUUUUCUUUGCAAUCUGUUUUAGAUAGUUUCUUGGAUGCUUUAGGUUAUACUCUUUCAAUUGUUGCUGUAGGUAGAAAUCAUUGUAGGUUCAUUUCACUUCUCUGAUUUCAUUUCCCUGUUUUAGUUUUCAUAACAGAUUUUGUCCCGAACCUUUUGUUUCUAAGUUUUGUUUUGGUUUUUAGUAAGAGUUUCUUAAGCUUUUUUACAUUCAUUGUUUCUGUUUAGGAUUGCCUUAGGCUUUCUUUCUUUUAAAUAUGAGUUUGUUCUGGUUUAAAGUAGGUUCGUUUAGUACAUAGGCUAGUUUUGUUUUGUGUAGGUUGUAAAAAGCUUAAGGUCAUAUUGUUAGCAAUUUCUAGGUUUAGUUUAGGUCCUGUUUCAUACUCUUUUCUCAAUUCUUUGCUGAUUUAAUGCAUUUCUUAGCUUCAUUUCCUUUAAUUAGAACUCUCAAUUAUGUUUUCUGCUUUAGAUUCAAGUAGAUGUAGUCCUAGCAUUAUUUUUGCAUCUGAGUUUAGUCCAAUAAAGCAAUUUUUUCAUAAAAGAAGGUGGCAAGUCAACUUUAGCAUUUCUUAACCCUAGAGAGAUUUUGGGCCCAAAUUUUUGUCUUUCUGGUGUGAUUUCAUGUUUGUUUAAUUUUCAUUCUAAUUUUGCAUUGGUUCUCUGUGAUAAACUUGCCCUUGGUAGACUUUAGACAUGAUUUAGGCAUUCUUUUUCUUCAUCCAUAGUCAAAUUAUCUUACUUAUUUCAGUUUCUUACCAUUGUACCUUUACUUUGAGCUUUAGCCCUUUUCUUUGUUUCCAUUCAUUACAAGCCCUUUUCCUCACCAAAUACCUAACAUGUAGAGACAUGUGAGAGGAAUGGUGGAUCUAGGAACUUAUUGAGUGCAAUAGAAAAGUAAGGCCAGAAAAGAAAAAGAAAAGGAAAAAUGAGUUGUUGGUUGUGUGCAAAAGAAAAAGAACAGGUCUGGAAAAAGAGAAAAAAUGCAAAAGAAAUGAAAAAAAAAUGAGACCUGAUAGUGAGUAAAAAUCAGAGAGAAAGAAAAAAGAAAUUGGCCUGGCCAAAAUAUAAAAAAUAAUGCACUAACUUCUAGGUCUUUCCUCUUUCAUAGUUUCUCUAAUUCCAUUUAGCCUUAGUUUUCUGACUUUUCAUACCAUUACAUUACAAUCCAUUAAAGACCUUUUGAUCUAGAUGAAACCAUGAGCCGAACAUUGUUACUUAGAGUCUUUUCAAAGUUAAGAAUUGAGGAUGACAUGUCAUGAGUGAGUGAAACAGGACAACCUUAAAUAUUUGAGUGAAUAUGAGUGCAAACACUUAUUCAUGAGGCUGAAAAUGACUUAUGUUUUUCUGAUUGUGUUCAUUGCUGAAAUUGGCUGAAUUUGGUUGUUUAUCACUUGUUGGAUUGCUGAUACUGAGAUUUUAGUUUGAGAAUUAUGUUGUGCAGUUCUGUUGGAUAAAAUGGCUAGGAAUUGAUGAAAUUGGCAAGAUUGAAUGAGUUGUGUAUAAAUAUAAUUGUUUUUGAGUUUUUGUUUAGAAUCUUUUCUUUUAUAGUUUGAGUCUUUGAUUUCUUCUUUCAUUCUUAGUUUUCCCUGCUAAGGAAGUGUGAGGGUGUGUUAACUCUCUAAAUUUACUUCUAUUUCUAGUCUUAGAAGUUUCUUGUAGCUUCUUAUUUUUUAGAAUUAGGAUAGUUUAUAGAUUUUUCUUUAAUUUAGAGUUUUGUAAAAAUAGUACUAAUUUUGUGUUUUUAAGUUGAUAUAUAGUAUUAUUUUUUAUAAAUGAUGUUUUGCUCUUUUCUUUAAAUGUCAAAAUUUGUUUUUAUAAUUAUAGUAUUUUAUUUUGCUGAUUAAACUCUUAAAUUCUUUCUUUUAUGCAGAUUAAGGGUUGAAGAAAUCCAGCGCUAUUGAAGAAUACUGAAUUUGCACCUUUGGCCUGAAGUGAAAUGGGCAGUGCUGAUCUGAAACUUUAUUUUGGGUCGUCUGCAUUGGGCCAAGGAAUCAAGUGAAACUGUGCAUUUUGGUGAUUGCUUUUGCUUUGGGGGUCAAUGUUUCGGAGGCCUCGUUUUCCAGUUGCAAGUCUCUAGCUAGGGCUCAAGUGCAGAGAAAGAGAAGGUAAAAAGAAAACGCUCGUGCUCGUGCCUCCAAUCCAGAAGAAGUUGAAGUUGAUCCUUUGCACAUGCAAGGAGGUCAAAUCAGCAAAGAAAGGGAAGUUGAUCCAAGGGCUGUAAAGACGCGAGUGGUUCGUGAUAAAGGGUUGACAAGAAAGGAAGUUGUUCAGAAAAUUAGUUCGAUCAGAGUAUCACGAAGCUUCCAAUUUUGUUAUAGGUUCAUCCCCUUUCCCCCAUUUUCCCCUCUUUUGGUUUUUCUAUAAAAGGAAGAUUUUAUGUACAAAGUGUGUGCAUUGGUUGACACACAGUGUACUUACCUUAGAGUUUAAAUCACAUGGGUGACAGGCCGUGAGGUUCCCCUUUGUGAUCUUCGGUAAAACUCUUGUAAUUUAGUUUUAAAUUUCAUUACAUUUCAGUUAUGUUA